RNA transcript from Mobula hypostoma (lesser devil ray), 1969 nucleotides. It is a transcript of the gene named ST3 beta-galactoside alpha-2,3-sialyltransferase 5, with no coding region annotated. The record is from RefSeq and is a predicted model, not a curated record. Lineage: Eukaryota; Metazoa; Chordata; Chondrichthyes; Myliobatiformes; Myliobatidae. The transcript has 8 exons.
AGUUUCUGCGAGUAUCCCCCCCCCCCCAAGCAGUGCCCUCGCAGGCGUGCGCUGCUCGUACGUUUAAUUCGUUUGUAUUUUUAAAGUUUAUCAAUGGAUUCAUUUGGUUGUAAGAGGCUUCUGUUUCCACUUAUAUAGUCCCGGGAAAGAAAAGGAACGGCAUCCUUGCGCCGUUUGUUAACACAAAAAGACGUUUUGAAUCUUAUUAUGAGGAACAUACGGAAUCAUUGGCGAAGUUGUGCUCACUUGAGAUCUUGCCAGAGUAUUGGUAAUCGCAGUGCACAUAACCAGUGGUGACGUGAAAAAUGGGAAAAGCUAGAUUUAUCUUCAGAGGACCUUUAAAGUUGACAGCGUUAAUUGUAUUUUGUUUGAUCGGCCUUCGGACUCUGAUUAAAUUUCUCGACCAAGAUUAUGAGAAAAAUGACAUAUGGGACCUGUACAUGGUGAAAGGUGAAAAAAAUAAGAGUGCCCAAAAAUAUGCUGAAAAGGUAUUGGAACAAAAAUGUCGGCAGUCUUUUGUUCAGGAGCAGAUGGCUCGACUGUUUCCACAAAAAUAUGACCGUGACCUGUUUCCUUUUCUGGAAAGAAGUUCCAUUCUCCGUGAUGCUGUGUUCAAGUACAACACUCCCUUUGGAUUUAAGAAGCACCAAAAUACCUUUAAUCACCUCAUUGAUCUAAUGCCCAUGGUAUCAUUACCAGAAGAACUAGAACAAAAUCCAUGCAAGAGAUGUAUUGUUUUAGGAAGCGGAGGAAUACUACGGGGAUUAGGUCUUGGACGCUACUUGGAUAGAUUUGAUGUUGUUAUCAGGCUGAACAAUGCACCAAUCCAAGGAUUUGCCCAUGAUGUUGGCAAUAAGACAACUAUCCGAAUGAGCUACCCAGAGGGAGCACCAAAAUCUCCUUUAGAGUAUGAUCCGUAUAUGCUAUUUGUUGCUGUAAUGUAUAAGGGAGUAGAUUUCAGCUGGCUGAAAGCUAUGAUCAAAAAAGAACAAGUGUCAUUUUGGGAAAAUUUCUGGUUCUGGAAAGAAGUUGCUAAGAAAAUACCAAUUAAACCAACACAGUUUCGAAUACUGAACCCAGAGAUCAUAAAGGAGACAGCAAUCGAUCUGCUGCAGUUACCUGAACCUCGACCAAAACUGUUUGGAUGGGAUCAGAAUAUUCCUACCUUGGGAGUCAGUGCUGUUGUUCUGGCGACUCAUUUAUGUGACGAAGUCAGCUUGGCAGGAUUUGGAUACAACCUAAGCCAGCCAGAGACGCCUUUGCACUAUUAUGAAAAUGUCCCGAUGACCGCUAUGAAGGCUCAAACUAUGCACAAUGUGAAUAAAGAGAGACAGUUCCUAGAAAGCUUGAUUAAAGAAGGUGUUGUGACAGAUCUCAGUGGAGGGAUUCACUGCAAAUUUUGCAUUUGAAAAAAUCGCAACCUUAAGAUUUACAUGUCUUAACAAGAAGAAACUGCCCUCCAGGAGAAGAUAUUAUUUGAGGCUGGUUAACUUGGCCUUUUAGCUACCAUUAAGAGAGUUUACAAUUUUGACACUCCUGGCAAGUACUUUCACAGAAGUUUCAUCAUUAAUCAAAUUCUGGAAGUGCAACUUUGAGAAAAGUAUUUGUGACAUGCUAACUUGCAUAUUGAACUCGGAGUCGGUAAUGAGUGUCUGUAAUAUUCAUUGCAUUAUUGUGUCCCUGGUUAUUUUAAGUCCAAUUUAAUAUAAAUUAUGAUUGUAAUUUCCCUGUUAUUUAAAUAGGAGUAAUGUUUGAUAUCUCUCAGAACAAGAUCGUUAAGUGUUAAACUUAAUAUCUGGUCUACAGAAAGGCAUCUUGGUGCUUUGUUGCAGCUGGAUGGAGCACAAACUAUUUCUCAUUAAAUUUAAGAUUGUCCAAAUCUUUUGUGUAAUUUAAUAAGAAUGUCCAUUUCUUUGUGGUUUUUACAUUGUAUGUUCCUAAUAUAAAUGUUUUUAAUAAAGAAAAACAA